AGCAGCCGCGGUAAUUCCAGCUCCAAUAGCGUAUAUUAAAGUUGUUGCAGUUAAAAAGCUCGUAGUUGAAUUUCGGGGUUAGUAGGUUGGUCAUGCCUCUGGUAUGUACUGGUCUCACUGAUUCCUCCUUCCUGAUGAACCUUAAUGCCAUUAAUUUGGUGUUUUGGGGAAUUUGGACUGUUACUUUGAAAAAUUAGAGUGUUUAAAGCAAGCUAACGCUUGAAUACAUUAGCAUGGAAUAAUGAAAUAGGACGUUCGAUCCUAUUUUGUUGGUUUCUAGGAUUGACGUAAUGAUUAAUAGGGAUAGUUGGGGGCAUUAGUAUUCAAUUGUCAGAGGUGAAAUUCUUGGAUUUAUUGAAGACUAACUACUGCGAAAGCAUUUGCCAAGGAUGUUUUCAUUAAUCAAGAACGAAAGUUAGGGGAUCGAAGACGAUCAGAUACCGUCGUAGUCUUAACCAUAAACUAUGCCGACUAGGGAUCGGAUGAUGUUAAUUUUUAAUGACUCAUUCGACGCCUUACG
This 520-nucleotide ribosomal RNA is filed under the name uncultured Glomus. RNAcentral describes it as "SSU rRNA". It matches the Rfam family "Eukaryotic small subunit ribosomal RNA", at positions 569 to 1092 of the family's 1831-position model. Lineage: Eukaryota; Fungi; Glomeromycota; Glomeromycetes; Glomerales; Glomeraceae. The record is from RNAcentral.